Long non-coding RNA from Phyllostomus discolor (pale spear-nosed bat), 764 nucleotides. RefSeq lists it as uncharacterized. The record is from RefSeq and is a predicted model, not a curated record. Lineage: Eukaryota; Metazoa; Chordata; Mammalia; Chiroptera; Phyllostomidae. The transcript is spliced from 2 exons.
AAAAUGUGGAUUUUGAUUUAGUAUAUCCUGGGUGAGACCUAACCUGAAUUUCUAGUUCCUAGGUGUUGCAGAAGCAGCUGAUCAGGGGACUACACACUGUGUAACAGAGCUGUAGAGGUUUCUGAUGAAUGCAUACACCACACAGAUAAUCUACAAUUUAUCCAUUCUAUUAUUGAUGGGCAUCUGGACAGUUUCCAGUUUUUGACUACUACGUAUAAUGCUCUAUAAACAGUCUCAACAUGUCUUUUAUGUAUGCAUUUGCUGGACAGAUAUAUAUCAAGGAGAAUACAAAUAUGUCCAACUUCAGGACACACUGUCAAACAGCUUUCCAAAAGGGCUAUACCAAUUUACACUUUUGUCAACAGUGUAUGAAAGUUCCUAUUAUUUCAAAUCCUUGACCAAUGCCUGUAUUGUUACCCUUUUAAUUUUAGCCAUUCUAAUUAGGAUGUGGUUUAACUAGCAUUUCCUGACAACUACUGAGGUGGAGCACUUGUUUCAAGUUUACGGAUAAUUACACUAUCUUCUUCUUUAAAUGUCUAUUCAAAUUAUUUGCCCAUGUUUAAAAUGGGCUUUCUGUUUUUUUCUUACUGCUAUAUAAAAGUUCUUUAUAUAUUCUGAAUAUAUACAAGUCUUUUAUUGGUUAUAUAUUUUACAAAUAUCUUCUUCCAUUGUGUGGCCUGCCUUUUUGCUUUACUAAUUGGUCUUGAUACACAAUCAACAUCUGAAUAUAUUUUUACCUAUACAAAUCAACUCUAAUAUCAUCC